UAGGGAAUCUUCCGCAAUGGACGCAAGUCUGACGGAGCAACGCCGCGUGAGUGAAGAAGGAUUUCGGUUCGUAAAACUUUGUUGUUAGAGAAGAACAGCGCAUAGAGUAACUGUUAUGCGUGUGACGGUAUUUAACCAGAAAGCCACGGCUAACUACGUGCCAGCAGCCGCGGUAUUACGUAGGUGGCAAGCGUUGUCCGGAUUUAUUGGGCGUAAAGCGAGCUCAGGCGGUCAAUUAAGUCUGAUGUGAAAGCCCCCGGCUCAACCGGAGAGGGUCAUUGGAAACUGGUUAACUUGAGUGCAGAAGAGGGAAGUGGAAUUCCAUGUGUAGCGAUAAAAUGCGAUGAUAUAUGGAGGAACACCAGUGGCGAAGGCGACUCUCUGGUCUGUAACUGACGCUGAGGCUCGAAAGCGUGGGUAGCAAACAGG
Molecule: ribosomal RNA, 429 nt
Filed under: Bacteroidota bacterium
Lineage: Bacteria; Pseudomonadati; Bacteroidota
Description: Bacteroidetes bacterium partial 16S ribosomal RNA
Rfam family: Bacterial small subunit ribosomal RNA
Source: RNAcentral